This 249-nucleotide ribosomal RNA is filed under the name Neobodo designis. Its description in RNAcentral is "partial Bacterial large subunit ribosomal RNA". It matches the Rfam family "Bacterial large subunit ribosomal RNA", at positions 848 to 1093 of the family's 2925-position model. Lineage: Eukaryota; Euglenozoa; Kinetoplastea; Neobodonida; Neobodonidae. The record is from RNAcentral.
GCUCGUACUCCCCGAAAUGCUUUUAGGAGCAGCGUGGAGGUAAAGUCUGUUAGAGGUAGAGCUACCGAUAGGACUAGGGGGAGUCAAAUCCUACCAAAUCCUGACGAACUCCGAAUGCUAACAGAUAUACUCUGCAGUGAGGGUAAGGGUGCUAAGGUCCUUAUCCGAGAGGGAAAGAACCCAGACCAUCAGCUAAGGUCCCCAAAUGUAUGUUAAGUUGAAUAAACGAGGUUGAACUGCUUAGACAGC